This 200-nucleotide small RNA is filed under the name Arabidopsis thaliana (thale cress). RNAcentral describes it as "ATSL111250". The record is from RNAcentral. Lineage: Eukaryota; Viridiplantae; Streptophyta; Magnoliopsida; Brassicales; Brassicaceae.
AAUGAUACAUUAAAAUAAACGGAUGUAGAAACUUUGAGAAAAAUCAAGUGUUUUUAUCUCAACUGGUAAAAAUUCUAAGCAAAAUUUAGAAGUCGCCGGUUCAAACUAAGUUUAGGAUGAAACUAAUAAAGAAAAGAAAGGAAAAAACGUUUGAGAAACUAUAUAUAUAAAUAUAUAUAUAUAUAUAUAUAUAUAUAUUA